UACGUAGGGUGCGAGCGUUGUCCGGAAUUAUUGGGCGUAAAGAGCUCGUAGGCGGUCUGUCGCGUCGAAUGUGAAAACCCGGGGCUCAACUCCGGGCUUGCAUUCGAUACGGGCAGGCUAGAGUUCGGUAGGGGAGUCUGGAAUUCCUGGUGUAGCGGUGAAAUGCACAGAUAUCAGGAGGAACACCGGUGGCGAAGGCGGGACUCUGGGCCGAUACUGACGCUGAGGAGCGAAAGCGUGGGGAGCGAACAGG
Molecule: ribosomal RNA, 253 nt
Filed under: uncultured bacterium
Lineage: Bacteria
Description: partial 16S ribosomal RNA
Rfam family: Bacterial small subunit ribosomal RNA
Source: RNAcentral